This 348-nucleotide RNase P RNA is filed under the name Piscinibacter sp. RNAcentral's name for it is "RNase P RNA component class A". It matches the Rfam family "Bacterial RNase P class A". Rfam says of the family: Ribonuclease P (RNase P) is a ubiquitous endoribonuclease, found in archaea, bacteria and eukarya as well as chloroplasts and mitochondria. Its best characterised activity is the generation of mature 5'-ends of tRNAs by cleaving the 5'-leader elements of precursor-tRNAs. Cellular RNase Ps are ribonucleoproteins. The record is from RNAcentral. Lineage: Bacteria; Pseudomonadati; Pseudomonadota; Betaproteobacteria; Burkholderiales; Sphaerotilaceae.
GAAGCGGGCCAGACCGCCGCCGGUGCGAUCUUCGAAAGAAGGCACGGGAGGAAGGUCCGGACUGCACAGGGCGGCGUAGCAGCCAACGGCUGUCCGGCGUGAGCCGAGGAUCAGAGCAACAGAGACGAGUCGGGGCGGUCUUCGCAAGAAGGGCGCUCCGGGUGAAACGGGCAAUCUCUACGCGCAGCAACACCGAAUAGGCCGGCAUUGAUGUGGUCCCGCGGAGCCGGCGGGUGGGUGGCACCGAGCCGAUGCAGCGAUGCACGGCCCAGAGGAAUGGCGGUCACGGCGCUGUCUUCGCAAGAAGACGGCGCCGCACAGAAUCCGGCCUAUCGGCCCGCUUCACAC